UCUGCGGCGCUGGGGCCCGAGGGGCGCGGGGGGCGCUGGGCUCCGGCGUCCCCUCUUCUGCUCACCGGAUCUCUGCGGCCGCCCAGUGCCAUCGCCCCACCCCGCAGCGCCGCCGCCUGCGGGCUCGCCCCCAGCUCCUAGCGACAGACGCCCACCCCUCGGACGCUCCCCACCCCAGCCUAGCCGGGAGGAAGGACAAGCCAGGCCUGGGGUCAGGACGGAGACCGCGGGGACCACAGUGCAGAUCCGUGCUGGGUGAGGCGCGGGCCUUAGAGCGGAGCCUUGAAGGCACCGACAGGCAGACAGAACAAUCUUUCCUCAGCACAAUCCUGGGAGAGGAAGGCCUAAAGCACUACAGUCUACAGCAUGGAGGCUUUGGUGCCUGGAAAAGACACCUGUGUAAGAAUUCUCUUCAAAGACUUCUCUCUGUCGGCCAGCCCUUCCAUUCUAGAAUCAACAUGAAAAUUAUUAAUGAGAGGUUUUAGGCCCUUUUCUCUGUCCACACUGAGCCACUGGAACCAUCUCCACGUGGGGGGGACCACACUCCUGGGCGACAGGGGCCUGCGCUGCCCUCCUGGGCCGGGACAGACCUGGACACCCGCAGACAUGUGCAGAGAUGUACUGAAGGUUUGUGCACGUCGAGUUCGUUAAGCCUCAAUUUUAAAAAAAGGAAGAGAUCCCAGUGAGCUGUGAUUGCACCACUGCCC
Microcebus murinus (gray mouse lemur) is the source of this 707-nucleotide non-coding RNA. Lineage: Eukaryota; Metazoa; Chordata; Mammalia; Primates; Cheirogaleidae. The record is from RefSeq and is a predicted model, not a curated record.